AGCUCCAAUAGCGUAUGCUGAUGCUGCUGCGGUUAAAAAGCUCGUAGUUGGAUCUCGGCGGGCGGGGAGCUGCGCGCGUCGUCGCGCUGCGGCUCCUCCGGCCCGCGUCGUGCGGCGGUCCGCGGCGGGGUGCUCUUCGCCGAGCGUCCCGCCGCGCCGCCGGGUUUACCUUGAAAAAAUUAGAGUGCUCCGAGCAGGCCUCCGCCGCCUGAAUAUCUGUGCAUGGAAUAAUGGAAUAGGACGUCGUUUCUAUUGCGUUGGUCUUCGGAACGCGACGUAAUGGUUGACAGGGACGGUCGGGGGCAUGAGUAUUCCGGCGACAGAGGUGAAAUUCUUGGACCGCCGGAAGACUAACAACUGCGAAAGCAUUUGCCAAGAAUGUUUUCG
RNAcentral lists this ribosomal RNA (387 nucleotides) under uncultured eukaryote. RNAcentral's name for it is "SSU rRNA". It matches the Rfam family "Eukaryotic small subunit ribosomal RNA", at positions 587 to 972 of the family's 1831-position model. The record is from RNAcentral.